This 960-nucleotide ribosomal RNA is filed under the name Vibrio nereis. RNAcentral's name for it is "bacterial SSU rRNA". It matches the Rfam family "Bacterial small subunit ribosomal RNA", at positions 476 to 1432 of the family's 1533-position model. The record is from RNAcentral. Lineage: Bacteria; Pseudomonadati; Pseudomonadota; Gammaproteobacteria; Vibrionales; Vibrionaceae.
UAGCUGCAGAAGAAGCACCCGGCUAAACUCCCGUGCCAGCAGCCGCGGUAAUACGGAGGGUGCGAGCGUUAAUCGGAAUUACUGGGCGUAAAGCGCAUGCAGGUGGUGUGUUAAGUCAGAUGUGAAAGCCCGGGGCUCAACCUCGGAAUAGCAUUUGAAACUGGCACACUAGAGUACUGUAGAGGGGGGUAGAAUUUCAGGUGUAGCGGUGAAAUGCGUAGAGAUCUGAAGGAAUACCAGUGGCGAAGGCGGCCCCCUGGACAGAUACUGACACUCAGAUGCGAAAGCGUGGGGAGCAAACAGGAUUAGAUACCCUGGUAGUCCACGCCGUAAACGAUGUCUACUUGGAGGUUGUGGCCUUGAGCCGUGGCUUUCGGAGCUAACGCGUUAAGUAGACCGCCUGGGGAGUACGGUCGCAAGAUUAAAACUCAAAUGAAUUGACGGGGGCCCGCACAAGCGGUGGAGCAUGUGGUUUAAUUCGAUGCAACGCGAAGAACCUUACCUACUCUUGACAUCCAGAGAACUUUCCAGAGAUGGAUUGGUGCCUUCGGGAACUCUGAGACAGGUGCUGCAUGGCUGUCGUCAGCUCGUGUUGUGAAAUGUUGGGUUAAGUCCCGCAACGAGCGCAACCCUUAUCCUUGUUUGCCAGCGAGUAAUGUCGGGAACUCCAGGGAGACUGCCGGUGAUAAACCGGAGGAAGGUGGGGACGACGUCAAGUCAUCAUGGCCCUUACGAGUAGGGCUACACACGUGCUACAAUGGCGCAUACAGAGGGCGGCCAACUUGCGAAAGUGAGCGAAUCCCAAAAAGUGCGUCGUAGUCCGGAUUGGAGUCUGCAACUCGACUCCAUGAAGUCGGAAUCGCUAGUAAUCGUGGAUCAGAAUGCCACGGUGAAUACGUUCCCGGGCCUUGUACACACCGCCCGUCACACCAUGGGAGUGGGCUGCAAAAGAAGUAGUAU